GACGAACGCUGGAGGCGUGCUUAACACAUGCAAGUCGAACGAGUGGAGAACGGGGGAGUAAGACGUGGGUAACAGGCCCUAUUUUUGGGAUAAACCUUGGAAACGGGGGCUAAUACCGAAUACGGGUGGAGGGGGUCGAGGCCUAUCAGCUUGUUGGGGGGGUGAUGGCCUACCAAGGCGGUGACGGGUAGCCGGCCGGGGAGGGUGAACGGCCACAUUGGGACGUGGAUACGGCCCAGAAUCCUACGGGAGGCAGCACUGUGGGAUAUUGCACAAUGGGCGUAAGCCGGAUCCAGCGACGCUGAGUGGGGGAUGAAGGCUUUCGGGUUUUAAACCUCUUUCGCUAUCGAACGGGUAGGUGGAGAAGAAGCGCCGGCUAACUACGUGCCAGCAGCCGCGGUAAUAC
Molecule: ribosomal RNA, 406 nt
Filed under: uncultured bacterium
Lineage: Bacteria
Description: partial 16S ribosomal RNA
Rfam family: Bacterial small subunit ribosomal RNA
Source: RNAcentral